This 71-nucleotide transfer RNA is filed under the name Loxodonta africana (African savanna elephant). It matches the Rfam family "tRNA". Rfam says of the family: Transfer RNA (tRNA) molecules are approximately 80 nucleotides in length. Their secondary structure includes four short double-helical elements and three loops (D, anti-codon, and T loops). The record is from Rfam by way of RNAcentral. Lineage: Eukaryota; Metazoa; Chordata; Mammalia; Proboscidea; Elephantidae.
GCAGCAGUGGUUCAAAGGUAGAGUUCUGGCCUUCCAUACAGGAGACCUGGGUUUGAUUCCCAGCAAAUGUA